Molecule: ribosomal RNA, 613 nt
Filed under: Helvella astieri
Lineage: Eukaryota; Fungi; Ascomycota; Pezizomycetes; Pezizales; Helvellaceae
Description: partial large subunit ribosomal RNA
Rfam family: Eukaryotic large subunit ribosomal RNA
Source: RNAcentral
UUACCCGCUGAACUUAAGCAUAUCAAUAAGCGGAGGAAAAGAAACCAACAGGGAUUGCCCCAGUAACGGCGAGUGAAGCGGCAGCAGCUCAAAUUUGAAAUCUGGGGCCCUCGGCCUCCGAGUUGUAAUUUGGAGGGGCACCUUCGGGGGGGAGCGCCGGCCCAUGUUCCUUGGAACAGGACGUCACAGAGGGUGAGAAUCCCGUGCCCGGCCGGAUGACUCCUCCCGUGUGAAGGACCUUCGACGAGUCGAGUUGUUUGGGAAUGCAGCUCCAAGUGGGUGGUAAAUUUCAUCUAAAGCUAAAUACCGGCGGGAGACCGAUAGCGCACAAGUAGAGUGAUCGAAAGAUGAAAAGCACUUUGAAAAUAGAGUCAAAAAGUACGUGAAAUUGUUGAAAGGGAAGCGCUUGAGACCAGACUCAGACCCGAGCAAACACCGCGCCCCUCGGGGCCGUGCAAUUGCCCGGGGAUGGGCCAGCAUCAGUUGGCGUGGCGGGACAAAGGCGCGGGAAAUGUGGCUCCCCUCGGGGAGUGUUAUUAGCCCCGCGCUCAAUGCCGCCGACGCCGACUGAGGACCGCGCCUCGGCUAGGAUGCUGGCUUAAUGGUCUUCAGC